RNAcentral lists this long non-coding RNA (561 nucleotides) under Homo sapiens (human). RNAcentral's name for it is "HSALNT0268365". Lineage: Eukaryota; Metazoa; Chordata; Mammalia; Primates; Hominidae. The record is from RNAcentral.
CGACGACUGGUUCAGGGAUGGGCCCAGGAUCCAAGCAGACCCAAUCGGGGUCUCCUCCAGAUAUGAUCCGCUGAGACUUCCAAGAGGACACUUUUGGGGUUACUGAUCUGGGAGGAUGUGGGGCUGCUUAUCCCCACAAUCUCUGCAAGAUGCCCAUCUUGACCACCACAGGGAAAGAGCCUGCUUGAGAAUAAAGUCAACCCAUGGAGCGAGUGACAGAAAGAGAGGGGACGAGAGCCAGCCCUGACGGCCUUACACACACCGUUGGCGCCAGCCCUGCUUGAAGUGCCAUGCUGUGAGCUGCCCAAGGGACAGGCCCAUGUGGCAAGGAAUGGACCUCAACCAAGAACCCUCAGAACUGAAUCCCUCCAACAAAAAAGAGAGAGAGCUUGGAAGCAAAUCCUUCCCUAAGCAGAUCCUUCCCCAGUCAAGCCUUAAGAUGAGAAUGCAGCCCCAGCCAACACCUGGACUGUGGCCUAUGAGAGGCCCCAAAGCAGAGGACCUAACUAAGCCACACCUGGAUCCCAACCUACAGAAAUCAUGAGUUAAUAAAUGUUGUUU